UGCAUUCACUACUGUAAGUCACUCUGGAUAAGAGCGUCUGCUAAAUGCUUAAAA
This is a non-coding RNA of Salmo salar (Atlantic salmon), 54 nucleotides long. Lineage: Eukaryota; Metazoa; Chordata; Actinopteri; Salmoniformes; Salmonidae. The record is from Rfam.